Molecule: long non-coding RNA, 1412 nt
Filed under: Pan troglodytes (chimpanzee)
Lineage: Eukaryota; Metazoa; Chordata; Mammalia; Primates; Hominidae
Description: long non-coding RNA NONPTRT006243
Source: RNAcentral
AAGACUGGGCAGAUUUGGUAAACAAAGCAUUAAUGCCAAAACCACUGAAGGAAGGGGUGACCUGGAACAGACAAAAAUAGCAUGGAAGGAGUUUUGAGCCAGUCAGUUUUCCAAGUACAAAGGAGACAAAAGUGAAGAUAGCGCCCUGGACUGUAAGGAGCUCACCACCUUGCCUAUCACCCCAAAUAUGAACUUAGCAACAAAACUCUGCAACAGGAAAGGAAUUAGAGAAAUCCAGGUAGCUGGCAAAUCUUUCCUCAAUUUAAUUUGCAUUAAAAAUAAAAGAGGGGGCUGGGCGCAGUGGUUCACAUCCAUAAUCCCAGCACUUUUGGGAGGCCAAGCAGAAGGAUCGAUUGAGACCAGGAGUUCAGGACUAGCCUUGGCAACAUAGCAAGAUCCUCAUCUCUACAACAUAUAUAUAUAUUUAAAAAUUAGCUGGGCCUGGUAGUGUGCACCUAUAUAGUCCUAGCUACUCAGGAGACUGAGGCAGCAGGAUCCCCUAAGCCCAGGAGUUUGAGGCUGAAAUGAGCUAUGAUCACACCACCACACUUCAGCCUGAGCAACAGAGCAAGACCCUGUCUUGAAAACAAACAAACAAAAGAGGCUUUGCAGCAUAAAUGUUUUGACAGAACUAAUAAAGAAUGUGCCUCUGUCUGGCCGGGCGCAGUAGCUCAUGCCUGUAAUCCCAGCACUUUGGGAGGCCAAGGUGGGUGGAUCAUCAGGUCAGGAGUUUGAGACCAGCCUGACCAACAUGAUGAAACCCCGUCUCUACUAAAAAUACAAAAAAAUUAGCCAGGCGUGGUAGCACGUGCCUGUAAUCCCAGCUACUCAAUCGCUUGAACCUGGGAGGCAGAGGUGGCAGUGAGCCAAGAUUGCACCACUGUACUCCAGCCUGGGCGACAGAGCAAGACUCCAUCUAAAAGAAAAAAAAAAGAAUGUGCCUCUGUCUUAAAAUAAUACAUUUCUCUCUAAUCUGCAAAAUAGGACACGUAUGAGAAAAUAUUUGCCAAUCAAAUACAUUUUAUAGCUGAUCUAAAGUGCUUACAAUCAUACCAAAGAACAGAACCUCUCAUCAUCAGCUUAGGCUUUUUCAACUAAGAAAGGAUAAGAUGGACCUUGAUUUUUAAUUUUAAUUCUUGGAAUGUCACAGAGUAAAGGUCAUUUUACCUAAUCGUCCCAUGUAAUAAGGCAUAUUGCCAUAUGUAGAACAUACAGCUAACUGAGAUUUCACUUUGCUUUCUGAUAUUUAACCCUGUUGUAAUAUUGGCUAUGUGAACCUGAGAAAUGAAAAACUGUGAUGUCGUUUUAGAAAUGGGGAAAAGUUGCCCAGGGCAAACAAGCAUGAAUAUAUCUGAUUAUAUUCUGUCCCCUGGUUCCUAGCAAUGCCUCUUAUGAUUGUCUUUCAGAUAUGU